CAAGUCGAACGAUGAACCUUAGCUUGCUAGGGGAAUUAGUGGCGAACGGGUGAGUAAUAUAUCGGAACGUACCUUGUAAUGGGGGAUAACUAGUCGAAAGAUUAGCUAAUACCGCAUACGCCCUGAGGGGGAAAGUAGGGGAUCUUCGGACCUUACGUUAUAAGAGCGGCCGAUAUCUGAUUAGCUAGUUGGUGGGGUAAUGGCCUACCAAGGCGACGAUCAGUAGCUGGUCUGAGAGGACGACCAGCCACACUGGAACUGAGACACGGUCCAGACUCCUACGGGAGGCAGCAGUGGGGAAUUUUGGACAAUGGGCGAAAGCCUGAUCCAGCCAUUCCGCGUGAGUGAAGAAGGCCUUCGGGUUGUAAAGCUCUUUCGCAAGGGAAGAAAACUUACAUUCUAAUAAAGUGUGAGGCUGACGGUACCUUGAUAAGAAGCACCGGCUAACUACGUGCCAGCAGCCGCGGUAAUACGUAGGGUGCGAGCGUUAAUCGGAAUUACUGGGCGUAAAGCGUGCGCAGGCGGUUUUGUAAGUCAGAUGUGAAAUCCCCGAGCUCAACUUGGGAACUGCGUUUGAAACUACAAGACUAGAAUAUGUCAGAGGGGGGUAGAAUUCCACGUGUAGCAGUGAAAUGCGUAGAGAUGUGGAGGAAUACCAAUGGCAAAGGCAGCCCCCUGGGAUAAUAUUGACGCUCAUGCACGAAAGCGUGGGGAGCAAACAGGAUUAGAUACCCUGGUAGUCCACGCCCUAAACGAUGUCUACUAGUUGUUGGUGGAGUAAAAUCCAUGAGUAACGCAGCUAACGCGUGAAGUAGACCGCCUGGGGAGUACGGUCGCAAGAUUAAAACUCAAAGGAAUUGACGG
Molecule: ribosomal RNA, 864 nt
Filed under: uncultured bacterium
Lineage: Bacteria
Description: bacterial SSU rRNA
Rfam family: Bacterial small subunit ribosomal RNA
Source: RNAcentral